RNAcentral lists this ribosomal RNA (425 nucleotides) under uncultured bacterium. RNAcentral's name for it is "partial 16S ribosomal RNA". It matches the Rfam family "Bacterial small subunit ribosomal RNA", at positions 354 to 796 of the family's 1533-position model. The record is from RNAcentral.
GUGGGGAAUCUUAGACAAUGGGCGCAAGCCUGAUCUAGCCAUGCCGCGUGAGUGAUGAAGGCCCUAGGGUUGUAAAGCUCUUUCAGCUGGGAAGAUAAUGACGGUACCAGCAGAAGAAGCCCCGGCUAACUCCGUGCCAGCAGCCGCGGUAAUACGGAGGGGGCUAGCGUUGUUCGGAAUUACUGGGCGUAAAGCGCACGUAGGCGGACUGGAAAGUCAGGGGUGAAAUCCCGGGGCUCAACCCCGGAACUGCCUUUGAAACUCCCAGUCUUGAGUUCGAGAGAGGUGAGUGGAAUUCCGAGUGUAGAGGUGAAAUUCGUAGAUAUUCGGAGGAACACCAGUGGCGAAGGCGGCUCACUGGCUCGAUACUGACGCUGAGGUGCGAAAGCGUGGGGAGCAAACAGGAUUAGAAACCCCAGUAGUCC